AGAAUGAACGCUGGCGGCAUGCCUAACACAUGCAAGUCGAACGAAUUACCUUCGGGUAGUUAGUGGCGCACGGGUGCGUAACGCGUGGGAAUCUGCCCCUUGGUUCGGAAUAACAGUUGGAAACGACUGCUAAUACCGGAUGACGACGUAAGUCCAAAGAUUUAUCGCCGAGGGAUGAGCCCGCGUAGGAUUAGGUAGUUGGUGUGGUAAAGGCGCACCAAGCCGACGAUCCUUAGCUGGUCUGAGAGGAUGAUCAGCCACACUGGGACUGAGACACGGCCCAGACUCCGUACGGGAGGCAGCAGGUAGGGGAAUAGUUGGAACAAGUGGGACGAAAGCCUAGACUCCGAGACAAUGCCGCGUGAGUGAGUGGAAGGUCCGUUAGGUUAGUAAAGGUCCUUCCGUUUUUACCCGGGAUUA
RNAcentral lists this ribosomal RNA (420 nucleotides) under uncultured soil bacterium. Its description in RNAcentral is "bacterial SSU rRNA". It matches the Rfam family "Bacterial small subunit ribosomal RNA", at positions 26 to 455 of the family's 1533-position model. The record is from RNAcentral.